AAUCAACGCUGGCGGCGUGCCUCAGACAUGCAAGUCGAACGAUUAAACUUUCCUUCGGGAAAGAUAUAAAGUGGCGCACGGGUGAGUAACACGUAGGUAAUGUACCUUUGGGUGGGGAAUAACCAUCGGAACGAUGGCUAAUACCGCAUAAUGCAGCGGCAUCGCAAGAUGACAGUUGUUAAAGAUUUAUCGCCUAAAGAGCAGCCUGCGGCAGAUUAGGUAGUUGGUAAGGAAUGGCUUACCAAGCCUGCGAUCUGUAACCGACCUGAGAGGGUGGUCGGUCACACUGACACUGAAUAACGGGUCAGACUCCUACGGGAGGCAGCAGUCGGGAAUUUUGGGCAAUGGGGCGAAAGCCUGACCCAGCAACGCCGCGUGAA
Molecule: ribosomal RNA, 380 nt
Filed under: uncultured bacterium
Lineage: Bacteria
Description: bacterial SSU rRNA
Rfam family: Bacterial small subunit ribosomal RNA
Source: RNAcentral